GAUGAACGCUGGCGGCUUGCCAAAUACAUGCAAGUAGAGCGAACAGACGCUGAGCUUGCUCCUCUGCCGUUAGCGGCGGACGGGGGUGUAACAUGUGGAGAACCUACCUAUAGGAAUGGGAUAACUUCGGGAAACCGGAGCUAAUACCGGAUAAUAUACCGCACCGCAUGGUUCAAUAGUGAAAGACGGCUUUCCUGUCACUUAUAGAUGGAUCCGCGCCGCAUUAGCUAGUUGGUAAGGUAACGGCUUACCAAGGCAACGCGGGGUAGCCGACCUGAUAGGGUGAUCGGCCACGCUGGAACAGAGACCCGGUCCAGACUCCUAGGGGAGCCAGCAGUAGGGAAUCUUCCGCAAUGGGCGAAAUCUUGGCGGAGCGACGCCGCGUGAGUGGUAAAGAUCUUCGCAUUGGAAAACUCUGUUAUUAGGGAAGAACAAAUGUGUAAGUAGAUAUGCACGUCUUGACGGUACCUGAACAGAACGCCACGGCUAACCCCGUG
This 497-nucleotide ribosomal RNA is filed under the name uncultured bacterium. RNAcentral's name for it is "partial 16S ribosomal RNA". It matches the Rfam family "Bacterial small subunit ribosomal RNA", at positions 28 to 507 of the family's 1533-position model. The record is from RNAcentral.